Molecule: ribosomal RNA, 497 nt
Filed under: uncultured bacterium
Lineage: Bacteria
Description: partial 16S ribosomal RNA
Rfam family: Bacterial small subunit ribosomal RNA
Source: RNAcentral
GACGAACGCUGGCGGCGUGCCUAAUACAUGCAAGUUGAGCGAUGAAGAUUGGUGCUUGCACCAAUUUGAAGAGCAGCGAACGGGUGAGUAACGCGUGGGGAAUCUGCCUUUGAGCGGGGGACAACAUUUGGAAACGAAUGCUAAUACCGCAUAAUAACUUUAAACAUAAGUUUUAAGUUUGAAAGAUGCAAUUGCAUCACUCAAAGAUGAUCCCGCGUUGUAUUAGCUAGUUGGUGAGGUAAAGGCUCACCAAGGCGAUGAUACAUAGCCGACCUGAGAGGGUGAUCGGCCACAUUGGGACUGAGACACGGCCCAAACUCCUACGGGAGGCAGCAGUAGGGAAACUUCGGCAAUGGACGAAAGUCUGACCGAGCAACGCCGCGUGAGUGAAGAAGGGUUUCGGAUCGUAAAACUCUGUUGGUAGAGAAGAACGUUGGUGAGAGUGGAAAGCUCAUCAAGUGACGGUAACUACCCAGAAAGGGACGGCUAACUACGUG